This 301-nucleotide ribosomal RNA is filed under the name uncultured bacterium. RNAcentral's name for it is "partial 16S ribosomal RNA". It matches the Rfam family "Bacterial small subunit ribosomal RNA", at positions 509 to 807 of the family's 1533-position model. The record is from RNAcentral.
CAGUAGCCGCGGGAAUAUGAAGGGGGCUAGCGUUGUUCGGAAUUACUGGGCGUAAAGGGCGCGUAGGCGGCCAUUCAAGUUAGAUGUGAAAGCCCUGGGCUCAACCUAGGAAUUGCAUUUGAUACUGUUUGGCUUGAGUUCGGGAGAGGUGAGUGGAAUUCCCAGUGUAGAGGUGAAAUUCGUAGAUAUUGGGAAGAACACCAGUGGCGAAGGCGGCUCACUGGACCGACACUGACGCUGAGGCGCGGAAGCGUGGGGAGCAAACAGGAUUAGAUACCCCAGUAGUCCCUGUCUCUUAUAC